CCGGAUUAGCUGAGAGGAGGUGCAUGGCCGUCGUCAGUUCGUACUGUGAAGCAUCCUGUUUAAGUCAGGCAACGAGCGAGACCCACGCCAACAGUUUGCUAGCUCGUCCUCCGGGAUGGAGAGGACACUGUUGGGACCGCCUCUGCUAAAGAGGAGGAAGGAAUGGGCAACGGUAGGUCAGCAUGCCCCGAAUUAUCUGGGCUACACGCGGGCUACAAUGGGUGGGACAAUGGGUAUCGACACCGAAAGGUGAAGGCAAUCUCCUAAACCCAUCCUUAGUUCGGAUUGUGGGCUGCAACUCGCCCACAUGAAGCUGGAAUCUGUAGUAAUCGUGUUUCAAAAUAGCACGGUGAAUAUGUCCCUGCUCCUU
RNAcentral lists this ribosomal RNA (370 nucleotides) under uncultured Methanomicrobiales archaeon. RNAcentral's name for it is "bacterial SSU rRNA". It matches the Rfam family "Archaeal small subunit ribosomal RNA", at positions 971 to 1338 of the family's 1478-position model. The record is from RNAcentral. Lineage: Archaea; Methanobacteriati; Methanobacteriota; Methanomicrobia; Methanomicrobiales.